RNAcentral lists this long non-coding RNA (4250 nucleotides) under Rattus norvegicus (Norway rat). Its description in RNAcentral is "long non-coding RNA NONRATT018484". The record is from RNAcentral. Lineage: Eukaryota; Metazoa; Chordata; Mammalia; Rodentia; Muridae.
AAAAGCUGCCUAGGAAAUGUGGGAGUAACCAUUCUCUGGAGAGUUGUGGGUUGAUUGGUUUGGGUUUUUUGUUUGUUUGUUUGUUUGUUUUUUAAUUUGUUUGUUCCUGAGUUGUGGGUUGAUUGGUUUGGGUUUUUUGUUUGUUUGUUUAUUUUUUAAUUUGUUCCUUUUUAUAAUUUUUAGAAAUAGAAGUCCUGCUGGGUAUGGUGGUGGAUGCCAGUAAACUCCCAGCAUUUGGGAAGUGGAGGCAGGAAGAUCCAGAGUUCAAGGCCAUCCUCUGCUCCACAGUGAGUUGGAGGUCAGCCUGGGAUACAUGAGGAAAAGAGAAAGAGAAGCAUGUGCAGGGUUUAUUAGCGUGUAUUACAUUAGUAUGAUAGUAUUGGAUAUCCAGGGAGGUUUAUUAGCGUGUAUUACAUUAGUAUGAUAGUAUUGGAUAUCCAGGGACCCAGGAAUAGACCCUCAUAGGAUAGUAAUCACUCUUCACUCAAGUAGGUGUUAGUGCCUAGGAGAAUCUGCUUCUAAGAAGAUUUAAGAAACAAAGAGGAAAACUUGAAAAUGUAAUGCAUAUAAAGUAGCACAGUGUACAGGAAAGGACAUUCCUGCUGCAGAAAACAAAAGCCAUAAUGAACUAAUAAUAUGGUUAAGAGGUGGAAUUUUGUAGCAAUAAUAGUUCCGUAUAUAUGGUGAAUUGUGCUCACAAAGCUGUGUGGUUGAGUGGUUGGUUACUGGUUGGGUUUGUGGGGCCCUACAGUUCUAUAGAGCUUUGCAAAAGGAAAAACACAUCCUAAUUAAAAGGCAUUUAAACUAUGAAUGUAUGUGAAUAUAUCUGUGAAAAAAGUAUCAACUUUCAUAUAUGUGUUAAAGAUCCUAUUUUGUUUCUCCAGAGUUUACAGCUGUUGAAAUCUUUCUAGUGCUUAAUCUGGAAUCCCAGUGAAGCCAACCUGUAGGGGUCUUGCUUAAAUUGUUUGUAUUGAUAGUCAUUUACUAUAUAGAAUGUUCUAUGCUUUAUUCAAAUAAUAUAACCUUUAUUCAUUGGGUUUCUGGCUACUGUUUCAAAAGGAAAAGUUUGUUUUAUAUGUGAUUGGUGUGCCUCAGGGGCAGGGAGCCACAAGAACUUACUGUUUUUUCCUUGUACUUAAGCUCAAGGAUUAAAGGUGAACAAAAUGACUGGCAGUGCCCAGGCAGGGGGUUUCUGAGCAUCUGGUAAAUGUGUGUGAUAAGCUCAUGGCCAGUGUGCAUAUUCUUUCAACAAGAAUCCAGCAGACUCCUUCCUUCCUUAUCUGAGAUGUAAAAUGGAACUAGGACCACUUCUCUCUUCCUCCUUUACCUCAUGUCCAUUGUGGCCACUUAGCCCCUUCAACAUCCCUGGAAAGAUCUGGGUCUGUGUCCCUUUGUUUUCCCAGGGGAAGAAAAGUGAAAGAGUAGUUUUAUAGAUCUAAGACUCUUAUUUUAUUAUAAGCCUAAGGAUAGGGAAAAGGCUGAUUGAAGUGUAGUUUCUCUCUAGAUGAACUGUGCUGUCCAUGUUAGCUUUUGGGACAACCAAGCAAUAUUCAGAACACCUGCAUGAUCAUGGAGAUGUGACUAAUCCAUCAGAGAUUCCUUUAACAGCCAUUUUAUGGUUCUAAAUGCAAAAAUAUGCUACAAGAUUUUGUGGUCUCAAAAUAUGUGGUUAAUUAGUAUUCAGUCUUACUGUAGUCUCUUGUUUACUCUUUAUGUACCUGUGAUAUGCAAAAUAUGAAAAGACGCCCUAGCCUUCAGGAGUUUACAUUCUCAUGGUGCUGUAGGUGCAAGCAUACCGUCUCUAGUUUAUUCAGAACAUUGCUUGGCUAUGAAUUAUACCAUUUUGGAAGAACCCCUUGGCCAAGAGUUUUAAAAUGCAGAGGGCUGUGUUGAAUUUCAGGGCAUUACUGCUUGUGUUUACACUGUUUUAGCUCUGCUCCUCAACCCUCCAGAGAGCUGUUCAUUAAUACAAAUCAGAAAAGAAACCAUUCUGCCCAAGUACCCUCACCACCCUCCAGCUCUCAGUAAGUGGCCAAGAAAACUUAUUCCAUAAAGACUAUCACCUCAGUUCCUUUUUCCCAGGGCUUUACACUUAUUUACCUUCCAAGGGCCAGGAUUUCUAGCUAAGCCUUUUAGAACCAAACAGAAGUCUUAAGUUUAGCUUUUUCAUGUAUGACUUGUUUUGAAGCAGCAUCAUAGUAGAUAACAGCGUAUCUGAUUGCAUCUCUGAGGAAUUUGACUGACAUAUUUAGUUGAAGCUUUGCAUGUAUCAUUGCUUUAUCCCAAGAUUCUGAAUCAAAGGGUUUGCAUGUUUAUUAAAACCAGGCCUGAUUGAAAGUGUAAGCAAUAGUGGCAGGCCCAUAACUGAUUCUAGAAUGCUAACAUUCUAAUGCAUGGUUGAAAUUUUUCAUUGUUAGGUAGUUACUAGUAAUUUUAUAUAUGCAUUUAUCAAUAAUGAAGCAAUAGAUACUUAAACCAAUAGCUUGGUUUUAUUGUUUGAAUUAUUUUUAUUUUUUAAUUAAAGAUUAUCUUGCUUCCAUUGAAAAUUGGAAGUACAAGAUAAACAAGGGGCAACCACAAGACAUUCAAACUGUAAGGAAUACAACAAGCAGUGCUCACUCUGUUUCCUAGCUCUAUUUAUUCCCAAGCAUGUUUGCAAAUAAAAGAUAGACUAAGCAUGUUGAACAAACAGUUGUAAUCAGGAUGGUGCAGGGUUUCAGAAGAGUGGGAAAACAGGCUAAGUGGAGUCAUCAUCCUUCAGAAAUAACAGUGUUCUGUGCAAAGUAACUAGCUGAGGGACUUGUCUGAUUAGGUUUAUAUAGACUAAGUUUAGGGUUUCUUAAAUCUAUAGAUUGAGCCAGAUUCAUGGUCUGCAGUCCCUGAGCAGGCAGGAACUGGCCUGAGCGCCAUAGGCAGACUCCAGCAUCAGUGUGUACAUACUGCCAUUCAGUAAUGAGGCAUCUGUUCUGGAAGGUGCUGGCUGACCAUCUACAAAAUCCCCACACAAGGUUUUGUAGAGCUGCAGUUUGGCUUCUCAGAUAGUGCCUGUGGCUGGAUCUGCAACUGUAGAACUGGAGUUUUCUUUACAUGAGUUGAUCAAAAUGUGUAACUUGCCUGAAACUUGAUUCCUGAUGAAUAGGAAUUUUCUUCUUCCGAAAAAGACAUUUAUUUGGGUGAAUGAACAUUGGUUUGUUACAGUAGUGAAAGAACAGAAGUGUACCUACUGGCAGAACAUUUACCUGAAAAAUGGGUUCAGUUGCCAGCACUACAAAAAAAACUAAUGCUGGUAGUGUAAGAAUUUCUUGACUUUGAAAUGCAAGUUACAAAUGGUUUUGACAAAUGAUGAGAAGUAUUUAUAAUUUCUGAAAGACCUAAAUAGAUUUCAAGUAGAACUGAUUCACUGGGUUCAGUCCAAUUUACAUGUUAUAUGACAGAAAAAUAGUUUCAAAUUUAACUUUAGCUGUGGUACUUUGCUAUGGAUGUUGACUAGAAUGGAAACUCUCAACCUUCAGAACUGAAUUUCUGAGUUGUCAGUGUGAUGUUUGCUUUCCACUGAAACACAGGAAUUGAGGUGUAUGACGUAUCCCAAAUAGAAGAGUUCUUUGCCACUUACUGAUCCCUCUGCCGGCCAAUAAAGAUGGAAGGCCAGAGUUCUUCCUUCUACUGCCCUCUUCCUAAUAGUCACUGAAGUCAAGAUAUCAUUCAGCAAUAUGAUUACUGCUGAUUUUCCAAACAUUUUGACAUCUUUGGGAAUGGUGUGCUGUAUCCUUAAUUUAAAUGUUCUUUUGUGCUUAGGACAUAGCUCUUGAAGAACACUUGGACUCUGGGGCCAGUCCUCAUCACUGACACCCUAUCUCAAGGAUCAGACAAGUAUUCUGUUAGGGUGUUAUCAGUUCGUAAACAACAUUACUAGUCCGGGCAUUAACCUUACUUAAACUUAAGCAUCCUUUUAAUGAGAAAGAUUAAGAACAGUAAUCUACUUGAGAGUGCUGCGUUUUCUGCCCUUCAAGCAUAGGUGUCACUGUUCACUUGCCCUUGUAUUCUAUUGGGCCACCAGUGUAUGAGGUGAUGUUGAAGAGCUUCACUGAAUGUUUGAAGCACUACAAACGGCAGCUUCUUAAUCUAUGCAUCUUUGGGAGUUGUGAAGAAAUUUGUGUUCUUGGAAAAGGAACUGUUUUGAGAGUCUGAAACUGCACCUGUAUGUAUAUAUUGUUAGCAAUAAAGCAUGAGCAGAGAAUGCACUGAAAUUU